ACGGGGCGGGCGCGCAGGAGCAGGGAGCGAGGCGCCGAGGGGUGCGCUGGGCCCAGGGGUGUCUGUGGUAACGCCCCUUCCCCCCCCCCAGUGCUGCGGUUGUCUGUGGGGGGCCCUGGGCGAACGGUUCACCCCGCGCGCUGUGUCUGCGCACGUUUCAUACACGCGCAGCGUCUGGAACAAACCUGAGGAAGGCGGCGCCCGGGAGAGCUGGCAGACAGGCGAAAAGGCACAGCUGGGAACGGUCCUGCGGCAAAGGAAAGGCAGAGGUAGCGGCAGGCCAGUGAUGCGCUGAACGCCAAACAAGGAACCCUACCAAAACUGGGGAUUUGGACAAGUUGCUAAAGAGAACAAAAGCGGUGUCCAGGUACUCAGGGAAAACAGCAGAAAGGCUAAGACUCAAUAAAAAAAAUGCAGUUCUCUCUAUUCAUUACUGGACCUAACAGAAUCUAAACAGAAAUAAGGAACAUGGGAUACGAAAGAGGUAGGGAUCGACGAGGGCACUAGGAUAUACCGAGAUGGAACACAGCUUUUCUUCUUGAAAUCCCUUCAUAGGUACAUUGAACCAACCCAAGUUAGAAAAUAGCAUACCAAAAUAGAUCAGCUUCCACCAUCUGCUCCUGUAUUCUGCCUCUGCUACGAUCUGUACCUUUGAAAUUCUCUUCUCAAGGAGGAUUCAGCUACUAUUCUUAUCUGAAGCAUUUGUGCCUUAAGGAAGGGCUCAUAUUAUUCCCUCAUUUUUAGGCGUAUUCAAGGUUUGUAAAUAAAUGUAAAAGGGAAAACAUCCAAAAUAAGCAUCUGAAUGCAUAAACUCCUUUAUUGAAAAUAUUGUGAUAGCACUGCAUUACAUAUAUUCAAGAUUCAUAGUUUAAAGUGUAAAGGGUCACAGAAGUUUGAAUGAACAACACUGCUGAAUAUAGAACACAGCGUUUAGAUAUGCUCUGACAAAUACAGAGUAAUGGAAUAAACUGUAGUUAAGUAAGAGAGAUAGGUAUGUAAAAUGACAAUUUUUUUGCUUGUUACCAGUAAGUGGUAUGCAACUGGCCAAAAUGGCAGACAUUAUUAGACAUUCCUAGAAUCUCUCAAAGCACUAUGCUAUUAGCAGUUUCUGAAAUAUCUUACAGCUAAAUCCAUCAGAACUUUUUUUUUUUUAUGGAUAGGCCAAGUGGAAGAAAACUGUGUUAUUAGCGUAUGUGCACUGUGUUACAGACUUCUUAUUUUCACGGCAUCAGUUUUUAACUGCAUGGAACCUCUGUGUGGACUUAAGACUGAUUGAUGCUUUUGGGAAAAAAACC
Long non-coding RNA from Mauremys reevesii (Reeves's turtle), 1295 nucleotides. RefSeq lists it as uncharacterized. The record is from RefSeq and is a predicted model, not a curated record. The transcript has 4 exons. Lineage: Eukaryota; Metazoa; Chordata; Testudines; Geoemydidae.